This 468-nucleotide ribosomal RNA is filed under the name uncultured bacterium. Its description in RNAcentral is "partial 16S ribosomal RNA". It matches the Rfam family "Bacterial small subunit ribosomal RNA", at positions 28 to 507 of the family's 1533-position model. The record is from RNAcentral.
GACGAACGCUGGCGGCGUGCUUAACACAUGCAAGUCGAACGGAAAGGCCCUGCUUUUGUGGGGUGCUCGAGUGGCGAACGGGUGAGUAACACGUGAGUAACCUGCCCUUGACUUUGGGAUAACUUCAGGAAACUGGGGCUAAUACCGGAUAGGAGCUCCUGCUGCAUGGUGGGGGUUGGAAAGUUUCGGCGGUUGGGGAUGGACUCGCGGCUUAUCAGCUUGUUGGUGGGGUAGUGACUUACCAAGGCUUUGACGGGUAGCCGGCCUGAGAGGGUGACCGGCCACAUUGGGACUGAGAUACGGCCCAGACUCCUACGGGAGGCAGCAGUGGGGAAUAUUGCACAAUGGGCGGAAGCCUGAUGCAGCAACGCCGCGUGCGGGAUGACGGCCUUCGGGUUGUAAACCGCCUUCGCCUGUGACGAAGCGUGAGUGACGGUAAUGGGUAAAGAAGCACCGGCUAACUACGUG